GAUGAACGCUGGCGGCGUGCCUAAUACAUGCAAGUCGAGCGAACAGACGAGGAGCUUGCUCCUCUGACGUUAGCGGCGGACGGGUGAGUAACACGUGGAUAACCUACCUAUAAGACUGGGAUAACUUCGGGAAACCGGAGCUAAUACCGGAUAAUAUAUUGAACCGCAUGGUUCAAUAGUGAAAGACGGUUUUGCUGUCACUUAUAGAUGGAUCCGCGCCGCAUUAGCUAGUUGGUAAGGUAACGGCUUACCAAGGCAACGAUGCGUAGCCGACCUGAGAGGGGGAUGGGCGACACUGGAACUGAGACACGGUCCAGACUCCUACGGGAGGCAGCAGUAGGGAAGCUUCGGCAAUGGGCGAAAGCCUGACGGAGCAACGCAGGGUGAGUGGUGAAGGUCUUCGGAUCGGAAAACUCUGUUAUUAGGGAAGAACAAAUGUGUAAGUAACUAUGCACGUCUUGACGGUACCUAAUCAGAAAGCCACGGCUAACUACGUG
Molecule: ribosomal RNA, 497 nt
Filed under: uncultured bacterium
Lineage: Bacteria
Description: partial 16S ribosomal RNA
Rfam family: Bacterial small subunit ribosomal RNA
Source: RNAcentral